This 1343-nucleotide long non-coding RNA is filed under the name Saimiri boliviensis boliviensis (Bolivian squirrel monkey). RNAcentral describes it as "lncRNA (ENSSBOG00000036629.1)". Lineage: Eukaryota; Metazoa; Chordata; Mammalia; Primates; Cebidae. The record is from RNAcentral.
GCUCAAGGAACUGAAAUCAUCAUGUCCUGAGCUACAUGCCCUGUGCAAGGUCUCUGGCUUAGCACACAGAAAACUCAGAGGAAUCGUAAUUCAGUGAUUCUUGCCAUCUGCAAGCCUGUGGAAUUCAGGUGCCCACAGGAAGGAAUGGAGAGGUUUUUCCAGCCUGACCGUAUCAGCCGUCUCACCACAAGAACCUUCUGUUUUGGCUGUCGUCCCUCUAUCAGACUCAGGCUGUUCCUUAUGGCCAACUAUGAUGUUUCACGUCCUCCUUCUUAAUCUACUGUCUAUCUGGAGACCGUUUCCAACCACUGAGAGUAACAAGGAACAGGAAAUUCAGAGAACUGCACUAAUCAUAAGCUCUCCAGAGUCCAUCUGCAAUGCCGUGUAUUCAGUAGACCUGAUCCUGAUCCUAUGAAAAGUCAGCAUACUACCUAGAAAGAAAGUGCUCAUCAGUUUGAUGUAAACGUCUCAGAUUGGACAGCUACAAUUACAGUAAAUACAACCUGAAACUGUUGUGUGAUAGAGACCAAGGCCAGCUCCUUAUGACUUUCCCUUGGUGUUGCUAUAACUGCCAAAUAGAGAUGAUUACAAAUCUUGCUCCUUCCCACAAAAAGGCUUUUAUGAACUAUAAUGAUAAAAUAUUGACAAAGCAUUUUUGAAUUUGUGGUUCAGAUAUUCCCGGAAUAUCUCAAUGAAUUCAGAGUUUUGGGUUUAAAGAUCAAAGAAUGAGGUCUAAUAAAUGAUGUAUUUCAGUUUAAGGCUUAAAUUAUAUCUUUCAGCCUCCUUGAUUCCUGGAAUUAUUCUUUAUAUUCAAUUUUUCUGCUAACAACUAUUUGUGUGGUAAUUUCUUUUGAGAAACCAUAUUACUGGAUUCUUAAAUAUCUUGUAAAGUAUACUCUGUCUUCUAGUAAAGUUCUUCAGUGGUGACUGGAUUAGAUCUGUCUGAAUAUUUAACAUCAGCAGUACCCUUCAUUGAUGGUAGUGAAAUGCAAGGCAGGAGAAAAAAUCCCUCUCACGGACUGCACAGCUAAGCCUUUUGCCUGACCAAGUAUACCAGUGAAAUCAAACUCAACAAAUGCCUGCUAAUCUCCAUCUUUGUAUAUCAACAAAUAUAUCUUAAAACUUAGAUAAUUUGUAUAUGGUUUCUUUCACCCAAAUGGCCAUCAGAGAACUACAGGCAUAUCUCAGAGAUAUUUAAAGUUUCUUUCCAGGCCACUGCAAUUAAGCAAAUAUUACAAUAAAGCAUCACACACAUUCUUUACUCUACUGAGGUUAGAAUUAACCUAUGCUUGCCUGUGUAUUUACUUCUGUGUUCCUUGUAGUGCUUAGUAGAAUGUUUUCAC